This 612-nucleotide long non-coding RNA is filed under the name Rattus norvegicus (Norway rat). RNAcentral describes it as "long non-coding RNA NONRATT029096". Lineage: Eukaryota; Metazoa; Chordata; Mammalia; Rodentia; Muridae. The record is from RNAcentral.
ACUUGGCUCUGCUGUGCGAUAUGUCCCCAGCCUGGUGUGUAGCACGUCUCUAGCUGGCUUCCCUUCAAAAUCCACACAUACAUCUCAAACCUCUUGCACAUCCUGCCAGCACUCAGGAGCCCUUCAGACUCUGACUCUUACUCUGCGCUCUUGCUUCUCUCUCCCCCUCAUCCUGCCUGGAUCCUGGGUCGUGGCCUUGUGCACUGCCAUCCUUCUCCCCAGGUUCCACCUUGAUCACCACAGAUGUGCGGCUCCAGCCCCACUCCAUGCCCCUGACUUUCCCAGUGGGUGAGAUGAUCUAUCCCUGGGUGUGGAGACAGCGGAGGAAUACCUCAGCAUUCAGGAUUGCCCAGUCAAAGGAAGACUUGCUGGCAGUCCUCUCAAGUGACUGACUCCCUGCUCAGGGGGCGCAGAUGCUAGCUCAUGCCUGCACCGUGUCCUUCCUGGCCUCUCUUUCUGUUGCCUCUGCUCGGCGGUCCUGCUGGUGGGAUUCCCUCUGUGGUACUGGAAGGCUUGACCCUGCAGCCUGUCAACUUCAGUCUGUUCUGCUCUGCUCUGCCCUGGCCUCCUAUUCCCCAGGGAUUCCUUAAUAAAUACAGUGACCUUACACCC